Molecule: ribosomal RNA, 253 nt
Filed under: uncultured bacterium
Lineage: Bacteria
Description: partial 16S ribosomal RNA
Rfam family: Bacterial small subunit ribosomal RNA
Source: RNAcentral
UACGUAGGGCGCGAGCGUUAUCCGGAAUUAUUGGGCGUAAAGAGCUCGUAGGCGGUUUGUCACGUCUGCUGUGGAAACUGGAGGCUCAACCUCCAGCCUGCAGUGGGUACGGGCAGACUAGAGUGCGGUAGGGGAGAUUGGAAUUCCUGGUGUAGCGGUGGAGUGCGCAGAUAUCAGGAGGAACACCAAUGGCGAAGGCAGAUCUCUGGGCCGUAACUGACGCUGGGGAGCGAAAGCGUGGGGAGCGAACAGG